Cricetulus griseus (Chinese hamster) is the source of this 294-nucleotide unclassified non-coding RNA. Ensembl annotates it as predicted gene, 27538. The record is from Ensembl. NCBI's taxonomy places the organism in Eukaryota, Metazoa, Chordata, Mammalia, Rodentia, Cricetidae.
CACCGGUUCCCCAGCUCCCAAAGAGCCCUCAAUGAAAGGAUUCAGCAGCGGUGCCUCUAUUAUUAUCCCGUAAAUCUUUUUAAAUUCUGGAACUAAUUAUAUAGAGGAUAUGUCUCAAUUUGUUCUGCAUUAAUGCCACAGUGGGGAUGGAGACCAGGCCGUGGCCAGAGCAGAUAUGGGAGCCCAUGAAAUUGAUGAACUGAGAGGUGCUUCCAGUCCAGAGCGCACCAUCUGGAAUUCCAGUCUGAGGUUACAAUUAGAACUCCUGACCCCAGAUUCAACUUUGCAAGCAAG